Athene cunicularia (burrowing owl) is the source of this 361-nucleotide long non-coding RNA. RefSeq lists it as uncharacterized. NCBI's taxonomy places the organism in Eukaryota, Metazoa, Chordata, Aves, Strigiformes, Strigidae. The record is from RefSeq and is a predicted model, not a curated record. The transcript is spliced from 3 exons.
GGGAGGGGGGAAAUUAACUGCAGAUGCCUCUCAGAGAUAAUAUCAAGGAAGGAAACCUUACGUGUGCACCCGGAGCAUACAAGUCAACACAGAGGUGAGCAGAGGUUUGUGUCGAAUGCAGAAAGAAGGCUGAGGGAUCUUGUGCUCUCUUUCCACAAGGUGUCAGAAGAGUUGUAGACAAAGGGAAAUGAACCCCUGAUGCCUUCUCUGAGCAUUUCUUUUUGUGACAAAGCACAGCUUGUCAGAAGCAGCAUCUAAGUGUGGAUGGAGUAGCUGUAAUAAAAAACAGAAUAUGUAUAUUAUUUGCAAUAAUGUAUUGUGGAAGAUCUAGUAAAUCAAUAGGACAUACAUAUUUAGUCUG